CAGCAGUAGGGAAUCUUCCGCAAUGGACGAAAGUCUGACGGAGCAACGCCCCGUGAGUGAUGAAGGUUUUCGGAUCGUAAAACUCUGUUGUCAGGGAAGAACAAGUGCCAGAGUAACUGCCGGCACCUUGACGGUACCUGACCAGAAAGCCACGGCUAACUACGUGCCAGCACCCGCGGUAAUACGUAGGUGGCAAGCGUUGUCCGGAAUUAUUGGGCGUAAAGCGCGCG
This 230-nucleotide ribosomal RNA is filed under the name Bacillus infantis. RNAcentral's name for it is "partial 16S ribosomal RNA". It matches the Rfam family "Bacterial small subunit ribosomal RNA", at positions 349 to 571 of the family's 1533-position model. Lineage: Bacteria; Bacillati; Bacillota; Bacilli; Caryophanales; Bacillaceae. The record is from RNAcentral.